AUACGUAGGGGGCGAGCGUUGUCCGGAAUGAUUGGGCGUAAAGGGCGCGUAGGCGGCCCGGUAAGUCUGGAGUGAAAGUCCUGUUUUUAAGAUGGGAAUUGCUUUGGAUACUGUCGGGCUUGAGUGCAGGAGAGGUAAGUGGAAUUCCCAGUGUAGCGGUGAAAUGCGUAGAGAUUGGGAGGAACACCAGUGGCGAAGGCGACUUACUGGACUGUAACUGACGCUGAGGCGCGAAAGUGUGGGGAGCAAACAGGAUUGGAUACCCUGGUAGUCCACACUGUAAACGAUGAAUGCUAGGUGUAGGGGGUGUCGACCCCUUCUGUGCCGCAGUCAACACAAUAAGCAUUCCGCCUGGGGAGUACGGCCGCAAGGUUGAAACUCAAAUGAAUUGACGGGG
This 397-nucleotide ribosomal RNA is filed under the name uncultured bacterium. RNAcentral describes it as "partial 16S ribosomal RNA". It matches the Rfam family "Bacterial small subunit ribosomal RNA", at positions 523 to 918 of the family's 1533-position model. The record is from RNAcentral.